GGGCAUGGGGACAAACAGGAGCUUUACCAGGCAGGAGCUGUGCCAGCUGCACGGGCACGUCCUACUCCCUGCUUCUCCCCAUCACAGCCCGCUGCCCUCACACCCUCUGUCCCCCAGCUCCCCAUGCCUGGCUCCCGCACGCCCUCCCCACAGGCACAGCGAUGGCAGUGGCGGCCGUCGGCCUCAUCCUCAUGUCUGCAGGCAGCUGGUUUGCCAUCAGGAAAGGUGAGGGAGUGGAGGAAGAGGGGGGAAAGUCUGAGGCCAUUGGGGUCCUGCUAUGGGGCUGGUGCAGUGGCAGAGGAGUUCCGGGGAACCUGGAGGUGCACAGCUGGGGCAGACGGUGCCUGGGAGUGAUGCCUGUGGCCAACCAAGCUGGGGAGGCUGCUGAGGGAGCUGGGGAGCUUCAGCCUUCAUCCCCCAGCCCCGAGAUGGGAGCCAGGGCUGGGCAGCACCUUGGCCUGUGCACCUCAGCCCCUGUUCUUCUUGCAGGUGCCUGCAGAGGGAGAUGCCCAAGUGCUCAAGACUCUUCUGCUGACCCCAGCCAUUUCUAUGCCAACGUGGAUGAGAUGGGCAGAGUGAAGCUCUCUCAAUCCAACUGCUCUCAACAGCCACUGCAUGCCAAAAGCUGAGCAAGGGAGAGGCGAUGCUGCUGGUUCUCUGAGAGAGGCAGAGAACACUGGGGAAAGCCUUGCUGAUCAUCGAGCUGUGAAUAAAGCCACCCCAAACAGGAAGGAGCUGGUGUAG
RNAcentral lists this long non-coding RNA (744 nucleotides) under Anas platyrhynchos platyrhynchos (common mallard). Its description in RNAcentral is "lncRNA (ENSAPLG00000025573.1)". Lineage: Eukaryota; Metazoa; Chordata; Aves; Anseriformes; Anatidae. The record is from RNAcentral.